UGGGGAAUAUUGGACAAUGGGCGAAAGCCUGAUCCAGCCAUGCCGCGUGUGUGAAGAAGGUCUUCGGAUUGUAAAGCACUUUAAGUUGGGAGGAAGGGCAGUAAGCGAAUACCUUGCUGUUUUGACGUUACCGACAGAAUAAGCACCGGCUAACUCUGUGCCAGCAGCCGCGGUAAUACAGAGGGUGCAAGCGUUAAUCGGAAUUACUGGGCGUAAAGCGAGCGUAGGUGGUUCGUUAAGUUGAAUGUGAAAGCCCCGGGCUCAACCUGGGAACUGCAUCCAAAACUGGCCAGGUAGAGUAGGGCAGAGGGUGGUGGAAUUUACUGUGUAGCGGUGAAAUGCGUAGAUAUAGGAAGGAACACCAGUGGCGAAGGCGACCACCUGGGCUCAUACUGACACUGAGGUGCGAAAGCGUGGGGAGCAAACAGG
This 429-nucleotide ribosomal RNA is filed under the name Pseudomonadota bacterium. RNAcentral describes it as "Proteobacteria bacterium partial 16S ribosomal RNA". It matches the Rfam family "Bacterial small subunit ribosomal RNA", at positions 355 to 776 of the family's 1533-position model. Lineage: Bacteria; Pseudomonadati; Pseudomonadota. The record is from RNAcentral.